Molecule: ribosomal RNA, 459 nt
Filed under: uncultured bacterium
Lineage: Bacteria
Description: partial 16S ribosomal RNA
Rfam family: Bacterial small subunit ribosomal RNA
Source: RNAcentral
CCUACGGGAGGCAGCAGUGAGGAAUAUUGGUCAAUGGGCGGAAGCCUGAACCAGCCAAGUCGCGUGCGGGAUGAAGGCCCUACGGGUCGUAAACCGCUUUUGCACGGGGAUAACACCCUCCACUUGUGGAGGCCUGCAGGUACCGUGCGAAUAAGGAUCGGCUAAAUCCGUGCCAGCAGCCGCGGUAAUACGGAAGGCCCGAGCGUUAUCCGGAUUUAUUGGGUUUAAAGGGUGCGAAGGCGGGCGUGCAAGUCAGCGGUAAAAUCGAGCGGCUCAACCGCGCCCCGCAGUUGAAACUGGGCGCCUUGAGUGGGCGACAGGCAGGCGGAAUUCGUGGUGUAGCGGUGAAAUGCAUAGAUAUCACGAAGAACCCCGAUUGCGAAGGCAGCCUGCCGGGGUGCGACUGACGCUGAGGCUCGAAGGUGCGGGUAUCAAACAGGAUUAGAUACCCUUGUAGUC